AGGAGGUGAUGUGGUGGUUGAUAUCGGCGAGUUUGCUGGAGCGGAAGCUGGAGGUGAAGUAGAGGUUGAUGCCGGUGAAAUUGAUGGUGAGGGUGAGUUGUUUGAAGGGUAUGGAGAUAGUGGAGAUGGUGCUAUUCCAUUUCCAGAGGGUGUUUGUGCUGUCGAUGGAGGCUGAGAGGAUAUUUGAGGUGAUUGGGAAGAUGAUGGAGAAGAGGUGGUUGGUGGAGUAUGAAUGUAAGGUGGUUGAGAUGUUGGUGAAUGAGUGUUUGGUGGUGUUUGAAUAUAUGGAGGUUGUGAGAUUGGUGAAGGAGCACCUGGAGGUGUUUGAGAAGAUGGAGAUGGAGUACUUUUUGGAGGGGCUGAAACGUAUGGUGGUUGUGAUGUUGGUGAAGAAGGAGAGUUUGGAGGUGUUUGAAUGUAUGGUGGUUGUGAUCUUGGUGAAGAAGUGUUUGGUGGUGUUUGAAUGUAUGGAGGUUGUGAUGUUGGAGAAUCGUUUUUUGGAGGUGUUUGAAUAUAAGGUGCUUGUGAUGAUGUUGGAGAAGGAGUGUUUGGUGGUGUUGGAACAUAUGGAGGUUGAGAAAUUGGAGAAGGGGUUUUUGGAGGGUGGCUGCUAGGGGAAGGAGUAGUUGGAGGUGUGUAAGGAACACUAGGAGAAGGAGAUUUUGGUGGUGUAAUUGGUACAUAAGGUGGUUGAGAGAUAGGAGAAGGCGUUUUGGGAGGAGUUGGUGUAUAUGGUGGUUCAUUUUUAGGGGAAGGAGCUUUUGGAGGAGUGUAAGGAUGAUUUGGAGGGGUGUGAAUAGGAGAGGGAGUGUUUGGUGGUGUAAUUG
Molecule: long non-coding RNA, 827 nt
Filed under: Lathyrus oleraceus (garden pea)
Lineage: Eukaryota; Viridiplantae; Streptophyta; Magnoliopsida; Fabales; Fabaceae
Description: Pisum sativum (pea) long non-coding RNA (PSAT_LNC022254)
Source: RNAcentral